Molecule: long non-coding RNA, 1384 nt
Filed under: Olea europaea subsp. europaea
Lineage: Eukaryota; Viridiplantae; Streptophyta; Magnoliopsida; Lamiales; Oleaceae
Source: RNAcentral
GAACAAAAUUGUAAACUAAGGCUUAUGUAUUACACAAUGUCCUAAAAACAUAUUCACUCACUCAUCAUAUGUAUUUGAGAUUUUGUUUCAACGACUGUUUUUUAGGAUGCAACAAAAAAAUAUUAAAACCUAAGCACUAAAUUUAUACUCUGACUAACUAUCACUAGGAUUUGGACAUCAAACUGGAAAAUUUCGGAGGCAGAGAAGGAAAUUCUCUGACCACGGAAAUGAGACAUUUUGUUUUCUUUCUUGUCUAGAACAAAAGAAAAUCAAGCUCUGAAAUAGAUUUCAAUGGAUGAUUCAACAGUCCAUCUGCCACAAGUGCUACAACCAUCGAUGAAAUUUUGGGGGCUAUUUUGCAAAUUUUUCUUAUCAUAUUAUUUUUCCUAUUUUAAUUUGAAGUUAACUUUAUCCAAAGCACGAAUCUGCUCCAACAAUGACUCUCGCUAUUGUUUUUAUUGUUGACUCCAUUUAUCUUCAAGCUGAUCAAGAUGAUUUUGAACUUGUUACAAAACGGAAUCGUUAGUUAAGUUGUGUAUGCUUUUCUUCUUGCAGGGCUUCAAGCCGUCUUCGUUACAUUCUUUUGGUUUCUAAUUGGUCUCAAUUUAGUGUUGUGAUUUUUCUUCUUGUUAUUUCCUCUUUGAGGAGACUUUGCCCAUUCACAUCCUUUAGAUGGCUGAUUUUUAAUUUAAUUGAGUAUACAUGUAAAUUUUGCUAUUUUAUUUAGAAUAUUGUUGAAAGAAAUUAAUAAUUACCUCUAUUCGUUAGUAAGCUUGAGCACUUUAGCCGAAACCUAACCUCCCAAACCAAAAUCAAUCCGGAGCCUGAGGUUUGAUCCGAUUCUCAAGGUUCGGAUCGUUUUCUAUUCAUGGACAGUUGGACCAGAAUCGUAGGUACCGAAUAGAGUUGAUUUUUUAUAUAUAAUUUUUUUUAUUGGUAGGGUAAAGAAAUACAGAACCUAAAAGCUUUGAUUUUGGUAUUAAUUUAUCUAAAACUCUAGAUUCUAACCCUAAGAAAUCAUGAUUGACUUCUACUUUUUGUAUCUAGCCUUAAAUCAUAUUGUUGAACUUCAGAAGUUAGUAUAUAUUAAUCUUUAGUAUUUAAGCUUUCUAUGAAUCAAAAAGUUCAAGCAAGUAUUGUUGGGUAAGUUGAUGUAUGACGUUCAUUUUUUGCAAUUCGAGCUUUUUAUUUUCUUGCAUUGUUUAAGAACUUAAUGAUUUUUUUUUUUAAUAAUGCAUGUCAUAUAAACUUGAUAUAUACAUAACUUGGGCUAUGGCGUACCUUUUCGUUAUAUUGAGUUUGUGAUUCUCUUUUGAGAUAUAAUUUUUCAUUUCUUAUUCAAGCAGAUCGAGUUCAAUAUGUGGUUUCAAUUUCUUGAUAUUAU